RNAcentral lists this ribosomal RNA (37 nucleotides) under Escherichia coli 2-156-04_S4_C1. Lineage: Bacteria; Pseudomonadati; Pseudomonadota; Gammaproteobacteria; Enterobacterales; Enterobacteriaceae. The record is from RNAcentral.
UGUUUUGGCGGAUGAGAGAAGAUUUUCAGCCUGAUAC